Molecule: ribosomal RNA, 486 nt
Filed under: Saccostrea sp. non-mordax lineage F
Lineage: Eukaryota; Metazoa; Mollusca; Bivalvia; Ostreida; Ostreidae
Description: partial 16S ribosomal RNA
Rfam family: Bacterial large subunit ribosomal RNA
Source: RNAcentral
CACUAGGAGAAGUUCACUCUUAGCAGUGCCUGCCCAGUGCAAAAUUGUAAACGGCCGCCCUAGCGUGAGGGUGCCAAGGUAGCGAAAUUCCUUGCCUUUUAAUUGUAGGCCUGCAUGAAUGGAUUGACGAGGGUCAAGCUGUCUCUUGCCUUGAUGACGAAAUUGGACUAAAGGUGAAGAUACCUUUAUAGAAAAGUUAGACAAGAAGACCCCGUGCAGCUUUAAAAAAGUUACUUAUUAAGAGUUGUAAGAUUUUUAGGUGGGGCGCCUAGGAAGUAAAACUUAACCUUCUUAUCUGUUAAGAAAGGCUCUCAGGCAUAGACCCGGCAAGUCCGAUCAUGGGAGAAGUUACGCCGGGGAUAACAGGCUUAUCCAUUAGUAGAGCUCGUAUUGGCUAAUGGGAUUGGCACCUCGAUGUUGAAUUAAGGAUGAUAGCUCUAAGGCGUAGAAGCUUUAGAAGUGGGUCUGUUCGACCUUUAAUACCUU